CACCAGGUUGAUUCUGCCUGACGUAGACGCUAUUCCCUAAGAUUAACCCAUGCAUGUUUUUGACAUUUGAAAAAUGGACUGCUCAGUAAUACUCACUUUAUUUUAUGUAAAUUUUUAAUUAACUACGUUAAAGUGUAGAUAAGAUGUUUACAGUAAGAGUGAGACCUAUCAGCUAGUUGUUAAGGUAAUGGCUUAACAAGGCUGUGACGGGUAACGGUAUUACUUUGUAAUAUUCCGGAGAAGGAGCCUGAGAGACGGCUACUAAGUCUAAGGAUUGCAGCAGGGGCGAAACUUGACCUAUGGAUUUUAUCUGAGGCAGUUAUGGGAAGUAAUAUUAUAUUGUUUCAUAUUUUAAAAGUAUAUGAGGUGAUUAAUUGGAGGGCAAAUCAAGUGCCAGCAGCCGCGGUAAUACUUGUUCCAAGAGUGUGUAUGAUGAUUGAUGCAGUUAAAAAGUCCGUAGUUUAUUUUUUAAGAAGCAAUAUGAGGUGUACUGUAUAGUUGGGAGAAAGAUGAAAUGUGACGACCCUGACUGGACGAACAGAAGCGAAAGCU
This 552-nucleotide ribosomal RNA is filed under the name Vairimorpha ceranae. Its description in RNAcentral is "SSU rRNA". It matches the Rfam family "Microsporidia small subunit ribosomal RNA", at positions 1 to 606 of the family's 1311-position model. Lineage: Eukaryota; Fungi; Microsporidia; Nosematidae. The record is from RNAcentral.